AAACCCCCAGGUUCCCGUCGCUGUAGACGAACCUGCAUCUGAGGUCGGGCCCCGCUCGGCUUUCGCGUCGGGCACCAUUCCGUGUUCCUCGACCUCGGAGGAACUCCUUCUGAUAAGGGUUCAGUACGGAGUUCCUCUGGAGUACGAUUUGGAACUGCCAGGUCCUUCCGACCAGGCCAGCAAUCCUCCACCCGGUCGCUUCUGUUUAUACCAGGAAGCAUUCCGUGCCGGGCUCCGGCUCCCGCUUCCUUCUUU
RNAcentral lists this long non-coding RNA (255 nucleotides) under Elaeis guineensis (African oil palm). Its description in RNAcentral is "long non-coding RNA (EGUI_LNC070991)". Lineage: Eukaryota; Viridiplantae; Streptophyta; Magnoliopsida; Arecales; Arecaceae. The record is from RNAcentral.